CUGUCACCGCGGCCAAGGCAGCCCCACAACCUUCACAUCUCUGACAAGGCCUUUCCUGUUUGUCACUAUGAGGCAACAACCACACCAUUCCUUGUGGGAUCCUCCACUGCCUCUGUCAGGAAGCUGUCAUCAAUUUACAGGAGCUUCCUGGACUGUUUGUGCUUUGUUGUGUUACUUCAACCACCUGAACGAGGAAUGAUCUGGUGUGCUGAUAAAAAAGGGACGCCUAACCUGAAAGUGUUUGGUAGAAGAACUGAACAGCACUAGGACUUUG
This is a non-coding RNA of Taeniopygia guttata (zebra finch), 274 nucleotides long. The record is from RefSeq and is a predicted model, not a curated record. NCBI's taxonomy places the organism in Eukaryota, Metazoa, Chordata, Aves, Passeriformes, Estrildidae.